Rosa chinensis is the source of this 348-nucleotide long non-coding RNA. RefSeq lists it as uncharacterized. NCBI's taxonomy places the organism in Eukaryota, Viridiplantae, Streptophyta, Magnoliopsida, Rosales, Rosaceae. The record is from RefSeq and is a predicted model, not a curated record. The transcript has 4 exons.
GUGCCAAUAUCUGUUGUUGCAUCUUUCAAGAAGAUUAAGGCCCUCGUAAGUAGUCAUUCCCAGCUUGCAACUGUAUUGCGGAACUCCUCAAAGCUUGUAGUACAUGAAGAUGGGAAGAAGGUCAGACGCCAGCAUCCCCUGACUCAAUCAGAUAUGGAAGAGUUGCAACCUCACAUUGUUGUUGCUGAAAAUUUGCCUGAGGAUCAUUGCCACCAAAACCUCAUGAAGAUUUUCUCUGCUGCUGGGAGUGUGAAGACAAUUCGUACCUGCCAGCCGCAAACCUCAAACAGUAAUUCUUCCUCAGCAUCCAGAUCAGCAAAAGCAGAUGGCAUGCAUUUCAGUAACAAU